This 1314-nucleotide ribosomal RNA is filed under the name Campylobacter lari. RNAcentral describes it as "bacterial SSU rRNA". It matches the Rfam family "Bacterial small subunit ribosomal RNA", at positions 202 to 1533 of the family's 1533-position model. Lineage: Bacteria; Pseudomonadati; Campylobacterota; Epsilonproteobacteria; Campylobacterales; Campylobacteraceae. The record is from RNAcentral.
UAGGGAAAGUUUUUCGGUGUAGGAUGAGACUAUAUAGUAUCAGCUAGUUGGUGAGGUAAUGGCUCACCAAGGCUAUGACGCUUAACUGGUCUGAGAGGAUGAUCAGUCACACUGGAACUGAGACACGGUCCAGACUCCUACGGGAGGCAGCAGUAGGGAAUAUUGCGCAAUGGGGGAAACCCUGACGCAGCAACGCCGCGUGGAGGAUGACACUUUUCGGAGCGUAAACUCCUUUUCUUAGGGAAGAAUUCUGACGGUACCUAAGGAAUAAGCACCGGCUAACUCCGUGCCAGCAGCCGCGGUAAUACGGAGGGUGCAAGCGUUACUCGGAAUCACUGGGCGUAAAGGGCGCGUAGGCGGAUUAUCAAGUCUCUUGUGAAAUCCAACGGCUUAACCGUUGAACUGCUUGGGAAACUGGUAAUCUAGAGUGGGGGAGAGGCAGAUGGAAUUGGUGGUGUAGGGGUAAAAUCCGUAGAUAUCACCAAGAAUACCCAUUGCGAAGGCGAUCUGCUGGAACUUAACUGACGCUAAGGCGCGAAAGCGUGGGGAGCAAACAGGAUUAGAUACCCUGGUAGUCCACGCCCUAAACGAUGUAUGCUAGUUGUUGGGGUGCUAGUCAUCUCAGUAAUGCAGCUAACGCAUUAAGCAUACCGCCUGGGGAGUACGGUCGCAAGAUUAAAACUCAAAGGAAUAGACGGGGACCCGCACAAGCGGUGGAGCAUGUGGUUUAAUUCGAAGAUACGCGAAGAACCUUACCUGGGCUUGAUAUCCUAAGAACCUUAUAGAGAUAUGAGGGUGCUAGCUUACUAGAACUUAGAGACAGGUGCUGCACGGCUGUCGUCAGCUCGUGUCGUGAGAUGUUGGGUUAAGUCCCGCAACGAGCGCAACCCACGUAUUUAGUUGCUAACACUUCGGGUGAGCACUCUAAAUAGACUGCCUUCGUAAGGAGGAGGAAGGUGUGGACGACGUCAAGUCAUCAUGGCCCUUAUGCCCAGGGCGACACACGUGCUACAAUGGCAUAUACAAUGAGACGCAAUACCGCGAGGUGGAGCAAAUCUAUAAAAUAUGUCCCAGUUCGGAUUGUUCUCUGCAACUCGAGAGCAUGAAGCCGGAAUCGCUAGUAAUCGUAGAUCAGCCAUGCUACGGUGAAUACGUUCCCGGGUCUUGUACUCACCGCCCGUCACACCAUGGGAGUUGAUUUCACUCGAAGCCGGAAUACUAAACUAGUUACCGUCCACAGUGGAAUCAGCGACUGGGGUGAAGUCGUAACAAGGUAACCGUAGGAGAACCUGCGGUUGGAUCACCUCCUUUCUA